GCACGGAGACUUCCGCCAGGGGACGGCCCGAAUUCACGCCGCACGCUGCUCCGGCUCUUCCCGUGUAGAUGAAGAUCUUGAGGCACGGCUUGGAGGCGAAGAUGGAUCUGGAGGAUAAGCGAGCGACGUCGGAGCUGCUGAGGUGGAACGUGGCGGCUAGGGUUUGGAUCUCCGGGAACUGCGUGGCUUCCAAUGGAAUGUAGGGGACGGCUGCGGUCUGCGGCGGGAACUUUUUGAGUUUGAUUUUGCAGAAACAGGUGGAGGAAGAGGGGUGCACGACGGAGCUCGACGUCUUCGCCGCUUGAGGAGCUUUCAGAGCUAGGUUGUUGAUCGUGAGGCGGAUGAAAGGACAAGGAUCCAUUUACGGCGAAAAGAGAGAGAGAAGACUAAGGGUUUAGGGGGAGAGACAUUAACAUGGAAAGUAGAGAAUUAGACCAAAGAAAAACGAAGGUGACGAAUAAAACGCAGCGUUUUAAUGGCGCCGCUGGAUUUUAACGACCUAACCACCAGCGAACGCUGUUGUCUUCUUCGCUUUUUGUAUUGCCUCUGGUUCUUAAGUGGGGGCAAGUAGGAAGCUCGAGGUACAUUUUUUCCAUUUUUUGCAUUCCCUCCUUCCUUUCCUUUUAUUUUUUUCGAAAUUGUUCAAUACGUCCUUGUUUUCUCCGAACAUAUAAAGAUUAGCCCCGGAAUUAUUUCGUAGCUAUUUUGACCCCACUUUAUUGAAAGAAAGAAAUUACACACCUUGCCCCAAAUGAUAAAAAUGAUAAAUAACGAAAAAUUAUAAUCAGAAUUAUUUUGAUAAAGUAUAAUCAGAAUUAUUUUGAUUAAGUAUUAUGUAAAAUAUUGACUGCACAUUACUUAUGUAUUCGCAUUAUAAAUUUAUGAUUAUAUACAUACAUAAAAAUCAAACAAGAUAAAUUUUAUUAUUAUAUUUGUAAAAAGAUUGGUAUUAGGUCAGAAUUUUAGUGAUCUCCUUUGGAAUAUGCUCGGUUAGAUCAGUAAAAUGACUGCUAAAGCAUAAAGUAUAUUACAAGCAGCCUCAAAAUUGGGCUAAAUAUAUGAAAUCAAAACAAUGAUGUCGAUUAGCUAACAUUGUUACAAUGUGACACUUGUUUUGUAAAUUUUCAUUUAAAGUUUUAAACAAUUUCUUUUAAGAGUUUUAAAUGUGUACGAAUAAAAGGGUAAAUCCGAAAUAUAGAGUUAGUUGAGGGGUAGAGAGAAAAGGCAUUGGAGCACAGCUGGGAACAGGCUGGCAAGAGAUGCCAGCUAGGAUUAGAGGUUGACGCCGGUGUCGUCUCUCUCUCUCUCUCUUUGAGUCUUGACUUUCUCUCUCUACCUGAUCAGUGAGUGACCAACCACACAAAACGUUGGCCCCACUUCUUUUAAUUUUACGAAAGCACCCUUAAUGGCUUACGUGUACGUUCGCGGCUCUCUGUGCAUUGAUCGGGGGAAUCUUUCGGCCUCUAUGCGGAGCUCACGUUUUUGUGUCAGUCACAUAGCUUUUUUAUAUGUUUGUUUUGUUGUUAUGGGCCGCACCAAUGAACGUCCAAAUCAUGUUUAUUUCAUAGUCGUUCGUUAACUCUCAACUCAUCCAAGGCUCAACUCCAAUGCAAACCAAAAAUCAAAUUAAAUACUGGGUAAAACACCAUAGCAAAAAAUAGUUCUUUUUUUUGGCAAAAUGUUAAAUAUAGCAAAAAUAGUUUAACGUAGUUUGCUGUUGAAGCACAGUUAUAAACAAAAAGAAUGCCUUUGUCCUCGACUGAGUCCAGAUGUUACUAAAUUCAAAAGAAGAAAACAAGGGAGCAAAAUCCAGCUAUCAUCCACGAUCCUCGUUCAGCAUAAAGUAAUAAACUAAUCUAACCAAUAAAUAGUUAAUUGAAUCUAGUGUAAUCGUAAACGUGCACGCAUAUCUCUCGCCCAAUCCCCAAACAAUUACUACUAUACUACUUUAAUCCAUAUAUUAUUAAAAAGAUACGAAAUGAUUAUAAAAAUGGAAGAAGAAGAAGCUCAGCAAUUUUGAUCAAAAAAAAAAAAAAGAAGAAGCUCAGCAAUUUGUUUAAGAAAAGAAUGAGGAGUUUUCCUUUGCAGUAGAAUAAAAGUGUGACUGACUAUUUGAUGUGAUUUUUUAAAAGGACGGUUUCCUCGGAAGUGUAAACACGUUUGAAAUUUCAUAUACAAAUGUAAUAAAGUUUCGUUGGUUCAAAAAUUCAGGAGAGUGGGUCUUUGUGGAGAAGUUUCGAUUCAAAAAUGUUUUUUUUUUUCAAAAUGACCAAGGGAACAAGUCCUUGUGGUGUGAAGUUUAAAAGAGUAGUAUCAUUUUUUCUCAUGUGUUACAUGAACAACGUGAACUCCUUACACUGACCAUAAACAUUGUAUGCAUGUAGUAAAAAUCUGUAACCAUUGUAUUUCAUACAUAAGCAAAACACGAGAGAAUGUAACUUCAUAUUUAAUAUUUUCUAUUAUGUUUCAUACGACUGCUAUAGUGAUCUUGCAAACAACAACGGUGUUCUGGUUCUUGGAACAUCACGAGAUAAGAUGUAAUUACCAAAGCAUACAUACAAGAUGAGCUCUUAAAGCUGUGGCCCUUCGCUUUAUGAUUGCUUGAGCUAUGAGGUAAACAAUGGAAGAUCUACCUAUUUUUGGCUAGAUAAUUGGUUGGGAACAGGAAGGCUGUUGAACGAAACAGGAGAGUCUGGUGUAUGGUACUUGGGGAUCCCUCGCUCCGCUACCAUCUCUGAUGUGGUUUGUGAGUCUGGUUGGAAGAUCCGUGCAAGAGGGCAACGACGGUUCCCUGAAGUUUAUGAAAAACUAAAUGCAAGGCAGGUGCUUAACCACGAUUCUGGGGAGGACAUUGUGCUCUGGAGAGCAGGUCCUGACGAGUUCAAAGCCUCUUUCUCCUCUGUUAAGACCUGGAAUUAUCUGCGAGACAAAAGAGCUGAGGUUGCGUGGAGGAGGUUGGUUUGGUUUUCUCAGGCAGUACCACGACAUGCAUUUAUGGCAGGGUUUGUAUUUAGAGAUCGACUGUCUACUGGAGAUAGAACAAAGAGUUGGGGUAUUGAGCAGUAUUAUAUGCUUUGUGGAAAGAAGAAUGAGACCACGGACCACAUGUUCUUUGCUUGUCCGUACUCGUUCAAUGUAUGGAUGAACACAGCAGGAAGGCUCCUUGGAAGCGCCAUAAUGCCUGACUGGACUGAUACCGUCGCAUCUCUUAUGCUUCCCUGCUCGUACCGACAUGAUCAUGUCCUUUAGAGGAUGGUGUUUCAGACAGUCCUUUACUCUGUGUGGAAAGAACGUAACUCGCGAAGGCAUGGAUGCGUCUAGGUCACGACGGAGAAGAUCAUCCGUACCAUUGAUAAGCAGAUUAGGAACCGGAUCUCAUCUCUUCGCUAUGCUAACGAUCAUCAGUUAGAGGGAGUAAUGAGAAGAUGGUUUGAGGUGUCCUAGCCAUUAGAGGGGAAGUUCAAUUCAUUCUUUUUAUUCAUUCAUAGAUGUUUAGAGUACAUAACUGCCUACUUGUAAAUGCGUUAUUCUGAUCAAUAAAUUUGAUAUUUAAUCAAAAAAAAAAGAGAACCACAUAAGUAUGAAUUAUUUGUUUGUUCUCCAAAAUAAAAUAGUGAAAAAAAAAACAUUUUUAAAUAAAUGAAUUCAGUGAUGACAAAUUGAAUAAAAACAAAAUAAAGGGGGAAGCGCAUCUGAAGAUCAAAGCACAAGUCAGUUAACGAAGUAAGAGAAGAGAAGAGGAAGAUGAAGGCGUUAGGGUAUUGGCUGAUGGUGGUUGGUUCGCUGAGAUUAGCUUCGGUUUGGUUCGGUUUCUUCAACAUUUGGGCUCUUCGUCUCGCCGUCUUCUCCCAGACCACCAGUUCUGUUCUCUCCUCCCUCCCUUUUAUAAUUGUUCUCAAUCGAUUAUUUCAAUGUCUUCUGAUCAUAGUAGAUAAUUAAUGUUCACAUACGAAUCUAUAGUAUACUUGAGAGAUUUGUUCUGUCCAAUUGACUUCUUAGUCUCUGAGUUUCUAGUCAUAAUUGGUCAGUGGCGGCUAUGGAGGGGCCAUGUAAUGUGUGUUUAGUGGAGAAAUGAUUAUGUCUCGUUCGGAGUAACACAUUGUGGAUCUGAUUUGUGCGUGAAAGUUUAGGUUUUUUCGGUUUCUGUGACUUAGGCAGAUGGCAUUGUGUCUUUCAAUACGGUUCCAAUUUGGGAUCCCUAAGCUCUAAUACAUUGAAAAUUAGUGAAGAGCUAGUACAUUGCAUUGUUAGAUCAAUGGGGUUUGUAGUUCACGAGUCAACUAAGAAGGAAAGUCUGAUUCUUUGAACGUAUUCACGGAUCUUUUCAGCUGCUUUUUUUUUUUUUUCAUGUUUAUUUAAUUGCAAAGUUGAGGUAAUAGUUUGGAUUGAAAGCAACACAUGCUCAGAUUCACUAUUAGCUUCAGGGCUCGAGCAAAGAGUGUAUUUUAUCCUUUAGACUAAAAAAGGCGGGGUGUCAUUUUUUGUUUUAUCCUUUUUUAUGCCUUCAAGAUUGGUCUUCCUUUCAAGUGGAGAUUAUAUAAAUUUAUAGCUUAUCUUUGUUUCUGACCUGAUAAAUUUAUUCCAGCUUUUAGGAAGCUAUAUUGAUGAUGUCAAUGGUUGAGUAUGAUAGCUGUUUUAAAUCUGUUAGAUCUAUGCAAAGUUGUAGGAUUCUUAAUAAAUCAAAGAGUUUAACCGAUGUAGUAAAUUUAUAGACAACAAUAUUUGUGUCAGGUCUAUAUUUCUCAGUGGAUCACGUUCAUUGAAUCUCUGCGACUAUGGACCUUUAUGAGAAAGGUUCAGUUUCCUGAGAAAGCUUAGUGCUUGAAUUUUUUGGACUGAAUUUGUAGGAAAGAGAGAUUAGUGAGAUAAGAAUAGCAAACCGGAGCAACAUAUCCAGGAAAGAUAUAUAAUUCCUUGGUGAUGGAACUUUUGUAGGAAGUGGACCACCAUGCUUAGAAAUCAGGAAGGGGGAAAGUAUUUGGAUAUAGAAUUGGUUAUACAUAGUCCAAUGCAUAACCUUUUUUGUAGGAUCAAUAUGGCGACUCUUUCUUAAAAUAAUGUUGAAGUGAAUCAAUGACCAGGUAAAGUGUAUUAGAUGCUGUAGAUGAUUAGAACAGAAGCAACUUGAUUUUUUUGGUUUCCUUUUGUGAUUUGUGGUGCGUGAUUUCGGCAAAGGGAUUGUUAUGGAACAUUGUUUAGUUUUUUUUCCUGUGAUUGUAAUAAGGUCACCAAAGUGUUUAGUUUAAUGAUUCUGGUAACAAUAAAAAGUUGUUAUAAUUUUGCUUCAUAUGAGCAAAUGGAAAAAGUUGUUAUCCGGAAAACUAAUUCACAUGGUUAGGUUUCCUCAGGUGAUGGCUCCUGAUGGUUUACAGUAAUAGUCCCGUCCUCAUGACUCAAGAUGUUCUUUCGUCUGUUUUAACUGUUUUGCAGUGAGUGAAGUACAUGGACGUACGUUCGGAGUAUGGACCCUCUUGACCUGCACUCUCUGCUUUCUUUGUGCAUUCAACCCCGAAAACAAACCGUUAUACUUGGCUACGUUUCUCUCAUUCAUCUACGCCUUAGGCCAUUUUCUGACUGAGUACCUCUUCUACCAUACAAUGACCGUCGCCAAUCUCUCAACCGUGGCCUUCUUCGCAGGUAUGGUUUGUGGCAAUCACCAGACAUUACAUAACCCACUCUUGUAUUCAGCCAAGUCAGUUAAUGUAGGUUGCAUUGCAUUCAUUGUGUGCAUGAUCCUCAUACUGCGCUGUUUUAAAUGUAUGUAACAGGCACGUCGAUUGUGUGGAUGCUCUGGGAGUGGAGUUCCCUUGAACAACCGCACUCCAAACUUUCUUGAUUUUUUUUUCUUUUCAAGAAGACAUGUAACUGAUUCUUUCUUCUUUGAAACCUUUUUUAAGUUGGAAUCAUCUCCGGCUUUUUGCUCGGAUUCCUAGAAUUGUUGUGAUCUAUAUUUCAUCUUCCCAUCUUUGAUAGUCUCAAGGAGAGUUGUAGGACUUGUUAUCUUCUAAUAAACUAUGACUCGAAUUUGUCAAUCAUUUAUUGUAUGACAUCUGCUACAGCUGAAUUGAUUGUUUUCACUUGUAAUUUUUUCCAAAUUUGAGCAUGAAUGACUAAUGGUAUUAUGAUGAUGAACACUUGCCUGAAUGGCAUUGUGAGCGAUAAAUAUUUACACGAUUCCUCUAAAACUAGCAUCAAGUUUUAGAGGUUGUUACACAGUGGAAGUUGUUAGUUGGGAGAGUAGUCAUGUGAAGAACUUUGUUGUUGUUGUUUUUUUUGUUUUUCUGAUAGGGCAUUAAAAAACUUUGUAGAUCUUUGUAUUUAAUUAAUGCUUACCUUUUUCAAAAAGUAAAUAAUUUCUUAGAAUAAUUUGAACAUUAAUAUACCAAACAAGUCGUGUAGAUACUUUUUAAAAAUCGAAUUCAUUCUUUUUUAGUCCAAACUACUUCAUAUAAUUUAGCUUACCAAUGUUAUAAAAAAAAAGCUUACCAAUAAAUAAUACUAUAUAAUUUAACUAAGCUUACACCUUAAUAUCUUCGCUUUUUACAUUUUUCAUAAACAGAAAUAUAAAUAUAUAUUUUUAAUUUCAGAUUUCGAUUAUGAAUUUUUUGUAACUAAUCUAAUAAACAGAUACAAAAAUAUGUGAAUAAAAUCAGAGAGUAUCCGUAAUUUCUGUAAUAUCAUUUUCAUAAUUUCAAUAAUAUUUGAAAUUAGUUUAUUCAUUUAUAAAAUUUAUAGCAUAAUAUUGUUUUAAACAUUUGUUGUUAUAUUUCUAAUUAUUUAAUAAAUAAAAAUAAAGACCACAAAAUAAUCAAUAUUACAGCAUAUAAAUUAAGAUUAACCCUUAAACUUGCACAAUAUUUACAAUCCAAUGCCACUGAAAAUUAAAUAAACGUAUAUUUAAUUAAUGCUUGUCUUUUUCAAAAAGUAAAUAAUUUCUUAGAAUAAUUUGAACAUUAAUAUACCAAACAAGUCGUGUAGAUACUUUUUAAAAAUCGAAUUCAUUCUUUUUUAGUCCAAACUACUUCAUAUAAUUUAGCUUACCAAUGUUACAAAAAAAAUUUAGCUUACCAAUAAAUAAUACUAUAUAAUUUAACUAAGCUUACACCUUAAUAUCUUCAUUUUUUACAUUUUUUCAUAAACAGAAAUAUAAAUAUAUAUUUUNNNNNNNNNNNNNNNNNNNNNNNNNNNNNNNNNNNNNNNNNNNNNNNNNNNNNNNNNNNNNNNNNNNNNNNNNNNNNNNNNNNNNNNNNNNNNNNNNNNNUACAAUGAAAUCCUUGGACACACUCCACAAUCCCUCGGCGGUUGAGUCCGGUAACGCCGCUGUGAAGAACGUCGACGAUGAUGGUCGAGAGAAGAGAACGGGGACGUUUCUGACGGCGAGUGCGCACAUUAUCACGGCGGUGAUAGGCUCAGGAGUGUUGUCUUUGGCUUGGGCAUUAGCACAGCUUGGUUGGGUGGCUGGAACCAUGAUUUUGGUGAUUUUCGCCAUCAUCACUUACUACACCUCUACUUUGCUCGCCGAUUGCUACAGAGCGCCGGACCCCAUCACCAGAACACGCAACUACACGUACAUGGGCGUCGUUCGAGCUUACCUUGGUAUGCAAUUUAUUAUUAUUCUUUAAAUCAUUUUUAUCAGCAUUAUUCAAGAUUUUUUCAGUUUUAUAUAGAAUUAUGUUUCUGAUCAACAAUUUAGUCUACUGAUAUUAAUAAUUUUUGGUAUUAUAUGGUAAAAAUAUUCUUGUGAAGAUAUUUUUUUUAUCUUUUCCAAUUUUUUUCAUAAGAUGGUCCCAGGAACAAAUUAAGAUCAAAGCAAUGUUUUCUUGCAAGAUCAAAGUAAUCAACCAUUUUUAGUGUAUCCUAUCUUUUGAGGAAUAUUAUUUUGUGGUUCUAAAUUUUUUAUUUUGAAAAUUAUGCAUGCUCUUCUUGGGAAGAUAUAUGAGUUAAUUAUCAAAAUCUACAAAAAGAUAAAAUAAUUAUGAAAUUUAUCUUCUUUCCAAAAUUACUUGAUGAACUGAAUUGACUAGUGUAGGAUUAUCAUUAAAGAAUACUAUCAUUAAAUUUGAUUGUUGGUCUCCCAAAAAAAAUUGAAUUCAAAAUGAGAGAUGGAUCCAAACUUAUCCACAAAGACAAAAGAUUAUCCGACUUUUUAACAUCAAAGGAUUAAUAACAAUAUACAAUUUCGAUGCUUAAGUCCUGCUUCUUGUAAUCGCUGCUGUUGAUUGACAAAAACAAAGACUCCUAUGUAAUUUAGAAGAGUAACUAAGUUUUAGAAUACUCCAUAACAUAAAACUACAGGUGGUAAAAAGGUGCAGCUAUGUGGACUAGCACAGUACGGCAACCUCGUUGGGGUCUCUAUUGGUUACACCAUCACUGCCUCCAUAAGCUUAGUGUAAGUCGUUACACAACUGAUAACUUAUUUCGGUUACAAUUUUUGUGAUGGUAACUAAAACAUGUGUGUUCUGUUGCUUUGGUUAGAGCGAUUGGGAAAGCAAAUUGUUUUCAUGGUAAGGGACAUGGUGCGAAAUGUACCGCAUCGAAUUAUCCAUACAUGGGGGCAUUUGGCGGCCUCCAGAUUCUUCUAAGUCAGAUUCCUAAUUUUCACAAGCUAUCUUUCCUCUCAAUCAUUGCCGCGGUUAUGUCCUUCUCUUAUGCAUCUAUUGGUAUCGGUCUGGCCAUCGCCAAAGUGGCAAGUACGGUUUCAUUUCCUUUAUUCAACGUUUAAAUGUUUACAUGAAUCUUCAAUGUUCGAUCGAGCUAACGGUGGAAGUGGUAUAAUUAUGUGGAAGGUGGGAAGGUUGGUAAGACAACACUGACAGGUACGGUGAUAGGAGUGGACGUAUCUGCGUCUGAUAAAGUGUGGAAAGCGUUUCAAGCGGUUGGGGAUAUUGCGUUUUCGUACGCUUACACCACUAUUCUCAUUGAGAUACAGGUAUGUACUACUUUCUUCUAUCGUUCUUUGAAUAUUUGCAUUUACAUAGUAGUCAUAUAUAUGAUGUAUUAGUUAGUGUAUGGAUCUAUUAAUGUUUUUUUUUUGCUCUUAGAAGUAAUCUCUAACUACCGAUUAUGGAUAUAUUAGUUAGAGAAUAUGGAUCUACUACCACUUCUAUUCUCUCUUUCACCAAAAAGGGAUAAAGAAGAAGGUGGCAUUUACCUUGAAGAUAAGAUGUUACUAUCAACUAGAGUAUUAGCCUAGUAGGCAUGCAUCUACAAAAAGGCUUGAUGGAUUUUUUAAUUAUAUAUGUGAAGCUCUAAAGAUACUGAAGCUCAAAUAUGUUUUUAUUUUUUUUCUUUGUUGCAGGACACAUUGAGAUCAAGCCCACCAGAGAACAAAGUGAUGAAGAAAGCAAGUCUUAUUGGAGUCUCAACCACAACUGUUUUCUACCUCUUAUGUGGUUGCAUUGGGUAUGCUGCAUUCGGAAACUUAUCCCCUGGUGACUUCCUUACCGACUUUGGGUUUUACGAACCUUUCUGGCUCGUCAUUUUCGCCAAUGUUUGCAUUGCUGUCCAUUUAGUAGGUGCCUAUCAGGUAAUUGUAGCAUUAACAAUUAUAUCUCUUAAAGUAAACCUAUCAUUGACAAACAAACAUGAGAACGUAGCACACAUUUAAAAAGCAAAAACAGCUAAUUAUCACAACACACUUGUAAUCUUCUUAAAUAUUCUUGUGUUAUCCUCUGUUUUAGAAAUUUAGAUUAAUAGUCGAAAUUAGUAGAAAUAGAGUUAGUUUGGUUUAAAAUAUAAUCAUUUUAAUGAUAUCUUCUUAAUCCUAGUUUAAUAUCAUUUGCAGGUAUAUGUUCAGCCUUUUUUCCAGUUUGUUGAGAGCAAAUGUAACAAAAAGUGGCCUGAAAGCAAUUUCAUCAACAAAGAAUACUCGUUGAAGAUACCAUUGCUCGGAAAAUUUCGUGUCAACUUCUUCAGGCUGGUGUGGAGGACAAACUAUGUGAUUUUGACAACAUUUAUUGCAAUGAUAUUCCCCUUCUUCAACUCCAUCUUGGGUUUGCUUGGGGCACUUGCGUUCUGGCCGUUAACAGUUUAUUUUCCUGUGGCAAUGCACAUUGCUCAGACAAAGGUUAAGAAGUAUUCGGGUAGAUGGUUGGCGCUGAACCUCCUCGUGCUGGUUUGCUUGAUUGUCUCCGCCCUAGCUGCUGUGGGAUCCAUUGUUGGCCUAAUCAAUAAUGUCAAGAAAUACAAGCCUUUCGAGAGUAUAGACUAAGUUACUUAUGCUGAUCUAUUUUAGAUAAGAACUAUAUAUUAUUUCUUUCCAGCAAAGUAUUUUAGCUAAAGAAUAAUGUUGUAAACGUAUUAUGCUAUUAUGUUUUGUUUUAUGAUAAAGAUGAAAACAAAUGCUAAUGGAUCUAUUAGUAAAUCGUAUGAAAAUCGUUAAUUUUUAGGAAUACAAGGGGGAACUAGAAACAUAUGCAUCUGUGACUAUAACACAACAACACAUGACAAUACUAAUAACUUUUUUUUUGAACAACUACAAUACAAAUAAAUAACUAACAACAUAAUAGAACUGGAAUCCACAUGACCACGGAUAGAAACAGUACAAUUCUGCAAAACAAAGACAGUACUACCUAGCACAAAAAAAGAACACAGUACUACACUACAUGCCAUUAAAUCGCAUCGCAUCAUCGUACAUGCUUUUUCUUAGUUAUCUCUACCACCCAGAAUCAGAAUCCACAGUUUCUCUAUAUAUACAUUAAUGAAUUCAGAAGACAAAAAUCUCUAGCAACAAGACAAGUAGCCUCGUAAUUACACAAGUGUUCCAAUGUCUGAAAAGGAUGAAAGAUUAAGGGUGUCGAAAAUGAUAGUGUCAAGAAGAUGGGUUUUCAACCCAAACAUUUCGUUUUUCAUGAUUACAAGUGUAGCAUGCUCCUCUUCUCAAACAAGCAAUACCAAACUAACUUCAUCUGUAACCAACUAAAGUUGAUUAUCAGAACAUAUCAUGGACGUUGAACAAAGGAAACAAAGGAGCAACAAUCUCAUGUUUGUUUUACAUUCAGAAAUUCCAAAAUGAUUUUAAUCUAAUUUAUACAGUUACAUAACCAAAUCAAAGGCAAAAGAAGAGUGACAAAGAAACUCACUCUUCAUCUCACUCAUAAGAUCCCAAACCCAAAAUAAAAAAGGUGAAAAGCCAAUACGAAACCUCACACUCCAAAACAAGAAACUCACUAUAUACAUCCUAUUUUGUUAACGCCUUUAGAAGAUUUUUUUUCAAAAAGAAAAUACUCCCAAGGCCAUUUUUUGUGACUAAAAUUUCAGAACCGUAAAAAACAAAAAUUCAACCUUAUUUCUUUUUUCUUCAGCCGAGUGACGACUCACUGCAAAGCUCUUUCCUCAUCCGCUGAUUAAACAACCUGCAAGCAUCCAUACUCAGAUCAAUCGCUGCAGAAAGCGCCACGUAAGCAGCUGCAUCCUCCAUGCAGCUAACGUGCUGCACACUAACCUCCACACACGGCUUACUACAUUUCCCUUCACCUUCCACACUCGCUGACAUCACAAACCCUUUAUACCCACUCCCCACCCACACCCCGUAUCCAUAGUCCCCGCUCCCUCCUCUCGGACUACUCGCCGGCGACGUACCUCCGCUGCUUCCACCGCUACGUCUUCUCGUUCUGCUCACGCUACCCGCUGUUGGCGACGACCCCAGCUCGAUCGAGAACUUCCCACCUCUGUGGGAACUAAUACUCGACUCCGUAAGCACGAUUCCCGCGCCGCUUGAUCCGUCUGGGAUGAGCUCGAACCUGUAGCCAAGCCCGUCGGUGGCUCCACCGCGUUCCCGCCACGCCUCUAGUCUCCCCCACGGCUUCCACGUGCCGUCUCCGGGACGGAGGAUGAGCCAAGAACCAGGGUUUGACCGGCUCACACGGUCACUUCCAGGAGACGCAACGAAGGGAGUGACGAUAGACGCCAUAGCCACUGGAGAACCUGACAAAUCAUGGACCGUUAUGGACCAUCCUUUUCGCUCUUUCCCGGGACGUUCUCUCUCGCUCCCGAACGAGUUUAGCCAGCUCCGUGGAACGCUUGUCUCCGGCGGCAACGAUCUGAUCAAGAAAGAAACAUAUACAAAUAGUAAGUUUCAAAAAAAAGAAAAAAAAAAGUAAUUAAAUAUCCUAAAGAGUAAAGUUUUCAAUAAAUCCAGGAAUGUGAUAACAAUAAUCUAAGGCGUUCGAUCUUAUGUUAAAGCGCAUUUCGAUUUGAUUUGAUUCCUCGGGGAAAAUAAAUAAAUUUUAAAUUAUUAAAAAGCGAUUGGAUCUGGAGGAUAAGCGAGCGACGUCGGAGCUGCUGAGGUGGAACGUGGCGGCUAGGGUUUGGAUCUCCGGGAACUGCGUGGCUUCCAAUGGAAUGUAGGGGACGGCUGCGGUCUGCGGCGGGAACUUUUUGAGUUUGAUUUUGCAGAAACAGGUGGAGGAAGAGGGGUGCACGACGGAGCUCGACG
RNAcentral lists this long non-coding RNA (12436 nucleotides) under Brassica napus (rape). RNAcentral's name for it is "long non-coding RNA (BNAP_LNC016862)". Lineage: Eukaryota; Viridiplantae; Streptophyta; Magnoliopsida; Brassicales; Brassicaceae. The record is from RNAcentral.